RNAcentral lists this unclassified non-coding RNA (551 nucleotides) under Hevea brasiliensis (rubber tree). Lineage: Eukaryota; Viridiplantae; Streptophyta; Magnoliopsida; Malpighiales; Euphorbiaceae. The record is from RNAcentral.
GUGGUGACACAGUUUGUUCCAGUGAAAAGAAGAUAGAUAGUGCAUGUUUCGGAAAAUUUCCCCUAUCAUAAUUGGGAGUUUAUGUGUAUACUGUUAUGACAAACAUAUACAUAAAAAGAACCUCGCUGAACAGUGAGAGUUACACAAGCAUAAAGAACCUCGUGACAACUGGAAAAAGAGCUGAUGGCGUUCCGCGCAAUCAAUGGAAUAUUAUCAGACAUUUCCGUGGGAUAUGUGGUUAGGCACCUCUCCCUGAUUAUCCAAAGGCAUGUACUGUGCCAUGAUGGCACGGAUCUCUGAAUCCAUAUAUCUCCGGAUCCUAUACUUGUACACGGCAUAUGCUCCAGCUCCUGCAACUGCCAAACCCAAGAUGAUAACCCAAACAAGACCCCAGCUAAAUGCUGCUUUUCCAUCAUUGCCUAUACACGUGUCAUGUUCUUGCAUGUACAAUAAAUUGCCGCUGCAACUGCAUUGAUAACCACCCCAGGUAUUCUUGCAUUUACAAUCUGGACACUGGCAUGCCAGCCUUUCUUUGCAUUCAUCAAUAUCUU